GACGAACGCUGGCGGCGUGCUUAAUACAUGCAAGUCAACUUGACUUUAGAUAGCAAUAUCGAAAAGUAGGGUGGCGCACGGGUGCGUAACGCGUAGGUAAUCUGCCCUGAGGUCUGACAUAACCCGUCGAAAGGCGGGCUAACAUCAGAUGAUAUAUAAUCACGACAUCGUGGAAAUAUCAAAUCUUCGGAGCCUUGGGAUGAGCCUGCGUCUGAUUAGGUAGUUGGCGGAGUAAUAGCCCACCAGGCCUACGAUCAGUAGCUGGUCUGAGAGGAUGAUCAGCCACACUGGAACUGAGACACGGUCCAGACUCCUACGGGAGGC
RNAcentral lists this ribosomal RNA (324 nucleotides) under uncultured bacterium. RNAcentral describes it as "bacterial SSU rRNA". It matches the Rfam family "Bacterial small subunit ribosomal RNA", at positions 28 to 349 of the family's 1533-position model. The record is from RNAcentral.